ACGGAGGGUGCGAGCGUUGUCCGGAUUUAUUGGGUUUAAAGGGUGCGUAGGCGGCUUUUUAAGUCUGGGGUGAAAGCCCGCUGCUCAACAGCGGAACUGCCCUGGAUACUGGAGAGCUUGAGUACAGACGAGGUUGGCGGAAUGGACUGAGUAGCGGUGAAAUGCAUAGAUACAGUCCAGAACCCCGAUUGCGAAGGCAGCUGACUAGGCUGUUACUGACGCUGAGGCACGACAGCGUGGGGAGCGAACAGG
RNAcentral lists this ribosomal RNA (252 nucleotides) under uncultured bacterium. RNAcentral's name for it is "partial 16S ribosomal RNA". It matches the Rfam family "Bacterial small subunit ribosomal RNA", at positions 525 to 776 of the family's 1533-position model. The record is from RNAcentral.